AUUAUUUUGGCAGAUUAGUGUGAUAAAUUUAGAAUUUAUUUAAAUAUUUUUAAUUAAUAUAAAUAAUA
Molecule: transfer RNA, 68 nt
Filed under: Encarsia obtusiclava
Lineage: Eukaryota; Metazoa; Arthropoda; Insecta; Hymenoptera; Aphelinidae
Description: tRNA-Leu
Source: RNAcentral